Molecule: long non-coding RNA, 481 nt
Organism: Mytilus californianus (California mussel)
Lineage: Eukaryota; Metazoa; Mollusca; Bivalvia; Mytilida; Mytilidae
Exons: 3
Source: RefSeq, a predicted model, not a curated record
UAAGCAGUACAAAUUGCCAUUCAUGAAAGUCUGCAUUCAUUUGGUUGGAUUCUUGUGGCUUCUUUUUGCUUAUGCAUACAUGCUGUUAUUUGACUACAAAGUAAAUGGAAUUUCACGCACAGACUAUUUUAUAAUCACUUGGAUGGUGAGCUUUUUCGUGGACGAAACCAAACAGCAUAUUGUAUCAAUUGUACGAAACAAAUGGAAAAGUUACAUUAGUGACUGGUGGAAUCGGUUAGACUGGUGUUCAAUAUUGGUAUAUACCGUUGGAAUGUGUCUAAAGUUUGGCGAAAAACGAAUUUAUCAAGAUGCAUCGAAAGUCUUAUUAGUAGUUGCUUUUAUACUUCUGUGCAUACGGAUCUUAAAUCUGUUUUGUAUGUCAGAGAUUCUUGGUCCCAAGUUAGUCAUGAUUCGCAAAAUGGUAUGUACAAAUUUAUUAACAGUUCACUAGUAUUUGUUUUGUUUUUUUUCCUCUCAGUAC